GCUAUUGGAUGCCACUAAUAGUAUCUGUAUAUAAGCAUUCACCACUCAUUUCAGCCAAAUCAGCAGUCUGACAUUUAGAUUGGAUUGUGUCCACAGGAGAACAUCAAGCCACAAAAGUCGCUGGAGAUGUUGGAGAAAUCAGAGAAUCCUCAUACAGUGUAUACUACUGCAAGAGAUUUAGGACAAACUGAUGUUACCAACCACACCACACCCAACGACGACCCUAUGAAUCAGAGUGCAUUACACAAAGAGAGGAGCAAGCCAAAUGCACCAGUCACUAUCUACUGUACCAUUCAGCAGAAACCAAAAUCCCCCAAAACUGAAACUAAUCACACCAUUUAUGCUGUAGUCAAUAAACCGUCAGCCGGAUAUGAAUCUGCACAUCCACAAUCAGAAUAAAAGUGAACUUUCAAUAAAAACCCUAAACCCUUACAGUGAUUAAAAGUGAUAAAGGACUUCAUGUGUUCAGGAAGGCAGUGUUAUUCUCAGUGUAAAUAAGCAACAUAUUUACCAUGUGCAGUGUGCUCCUAUUGUAGUUGAUUUAGGGUGUGUUAAAGAUAUUUAAAUACGUAAAUUCUGUCUUUUUUUAAAGCAGCAGUGAAUGUAUUUUUAUUGUAAAAUUGUUGUACAUGUGACUCAGACAGGAAUGCAAAAUCUCAUGUGGAUUCAGUAGAUUUCUAUUGGCGAUACCUCGCCGCCUUUGCAGGCAACGCCUGAAAAUCACUUCCUGGAAAGUAUUUGUCAGUCUUUAGAUUUAUUGAAGGGUCAUCAGGGCUGGGGAAUAACGAAAUACAUGUAACGGCGUUACGUAUUUAAAAAAAACUGUAUUUCAUUAUAAUUAAAUAAUGUUACAGUUACAGUUACAUCCGAAAAGUAUUUUAGAUUACCAAAGUGAUUACUUUGAAUUUUAAUGUCAUUUCUUAAUUUAAUAUUUAAGUAAACAGUUUGGGGAUUUUAAACAAUAAGGCAACCUUAGACUUUUAUUUUAUGACUUUUAUUUAACCCAUGGACAGCUAAAACCCCACGCCUUACAUGCUCACCAUCAUGACACAAAAAUGGACGACACAACAG
This 1071-nucleotide long non-coding RNA is filed under the name Sinocyclocheilus grahami. RNAcentral's name for it is "lncRNA (ENSSGRG00000008852.1)". The record is from RNAcentral. Lineage: Eukaryota; Metazoa; Chordata; Actinopteri; Cypriniformes; Cyprinidae.